Molecule: small nucleolar RNA, 139 nt
Organism: Mustela erminea (ermine)
Lineage: Eukaryota; Metazoa; Chordata; Mammalia; Carnivora; Mustelidae
Product: small nucleolar RNA SNORA8
Exons: 1
Source: RefSeq, a predicted model, not a curated record
CGCACUGCAUGGUAUCUGCCCUCAGCAGCUCAUUCCUGCUGGGUGUUCAAAGGACAGUGCAAUAGAAACUCAGUAUCUGGCAUCGUUGGUUUUCUUGGCUUUCGUGCAUGUUAAACCUGGUAUUUUUACUGAAACAGUA